RNAcentral lists this non-coding RNA (148 nucleotides) under Gorilla gorilla gorilla (western lowland gorilla). Lineage: Eukaryota; Metazoa; Chordata; Mammalia; Primates; Hominidae. The record is from Rfam by way of RNAcentral.
GCCGGGCAUGGUGUCACGUGCCUGUAAUCCCAGUUACUCAGGAGGCUGAGGCAGGAGAAUCGCUUGAAUCCAGGAGGCAGAGGGUGCAGUGAGCUGAGAUCGUGCCACUGCACUCCGGCCUGGGUGACAGAGCGAGACUCCGUCUCAA